UUAGAACGCUGAAGAGAGGAGCUUGCUCUUCUUGGAUGAGUUGCGAACGGGUGAGUGACGCGUAGGUAACCUGCCUUGUAGCGGGGGAUAACUAUUGGAAACGAUAGCUAAUACCGCAUAACAAUGGAUGACACAUGUCAUUUAUUUGAAAGGGGCAAUUGCUCCACUACAAGAUGGACCUGCGUUGUAUUAGCUAGUAGGUGAGGUAACGGCUCACCUAGGCGACGAUACAUAGCCGACCUGAGAGGGUGAUCGGCCACACUGGGACUGAGACACGGCCCAGACUCCUACGGGAGGCAGCAGUAGGGAAUCUUCGGCAAUGGGGGCAACCCUGACCGAGCAACGCCGCGUGAGUGAAGAAGGUUUUCGGAUCGUAAAGCUCUGUUGUAAGUCAAGAACGAGUGUGAGAGUGGAAAGUUCACACUGUGACGGUAGCUUACCAGAAAGGGACGGCUAACUACGUGCCAGCAGCCGCGGUAAUACGUAGGUCCCGAGCGUUGUCCGGAUUUAUUGGGCGUAAAGCGAGCGCAGGCGGUUUGAUAAGUCUGAAGUUAAAGGCUGUGGCUCAACCAUAGUUCGCUUUGGAAACUGUCAAACUUGAGUGCAGAAGGGGAGAGUGGAAUUCCAUGUGUAGCGGUGAAAUGCGUAGAUAUAUGGAGGAACACCGGUGGCGAAAGCGGCUCUCUGGUCUGUAACUGACGCUGAGGCUCGAAAGCGUGGGGAGCGAACAGGAUUAGAUACCCUGGUAGUCCACGCCGUAAACGAUGAGUGCUAGGUGUUGGAUCC
Molecule: ribosomal RNA, 786 nt
Filed under: uncultured bacterium
Lineage: Bacteria
Description: bacterial SSU rRNA
Rfam family: Bacterial small subunit ribosomal RNA
Source: RNAcentral